GAUGAACGCUGGCGGCGUGCCUAAUACAUGCCAGUCGAGCGAACAGACGAGGAGCUUGCUCCUCUGACGUUAGCGGCGGACGGGUGAGUAACACGUGGAUAACCUACCUAUAAGACUGGGAUAACUUCGGGAAACCGGAGCUAAUUCCGGAUAAUAUAUUGAACCGCAUGGUUCAAUAGUGAAAGACGGUUUUGCUGUCACUUAUAGAUGGAUCCGCGCCGCAUUAGCUAGUUGGUAAGGUAACGGCUUACCAAGGCAACGAUGCGUAGCCGACCUGAGAGGGUGAUCGGCCACACUGGAACUGAGACACGGUCCAGACUCCUACGGGAGGCAGCAGUAGGGAAUCUUCCGCAAUGGGCGAAAGCCUGACGGAGCAACGCCGCGUGAGUGAUGAAGGUCUUCGGAUCGUAAAACUCUGUUAUUAGGGAAGAACAAAUGUGUAAGUAACUAUGCACGUCUUGACGGUACCUAAUCAGAAAGCCACGGCUAACUACGUG
Molecule: ribosomal RNA, 497 nt
Filed under: uncultured bacterium
Lineage: Bacteria
Description: partial 16S ribosomal RNA
Rfam family: Bacterial small subunit ribosomal RNA
Source: RNAcentral